This 580-nucleotide long non-coding RNA is filed under the name Apteryx rowi (Okarito brown kiwi). Its description in RNAcentral is "lncRNA (ENSARWG00000008508.1)". The record is from RNAcentral. Lineage: Eukaryota; Metazoa; Chordata; Aves; Apterygiformes; Apterygidae.
GCGGGGGGGUUGAAUGGGGUAUGGCUGCUGGAGCCCGGGCGAGGGGCUUGGUCGUGCUCCGUGAGGGGCGAGUCCACUUUCUCUGGGGCUGCGGAGGGCCCUAAGCCUCGUGGGGAUGCUGCGAGGCAGCUGUCCCGUGUCGUCGUUUUCUGCCUUUUGGCUUCUGGGCUGUGUCCCGUGAGGGAGCCUGGCCCUGUGAGCAUGGGAGCCGCUGCUUAAAAGCAAGCUACUACUCGAGGUGUUGCUUUUGAGAGGAAGUGUGGCUAUUAAUGGCUGGAAAGGCAGAAAAAAACCCACUGAUGGUCCAUCAUCUUAUGACUUUAAGAUGGUUCCUUGCUUUUUGGGGCAUGGGUCUCGCUCUUCUUUGUGUGUUUGCAGCUGGGAGGAGAUGGAGACCUGUGGAAAUGCAGGGCACUUUAUAUAUAUAUUAUUUGAAAUAGUGCUGCUAGAAGCUGGUGGAGAGCAGCUGCUCUCAUGGCAUUGGAGAACUGCUGUAGUGUGUGUUCAUUUACAGACACAAGAACUAUGUAUGCCCGUGGGACAGAGGUCCUGCUGAGGCUGGAAGCAGAUAGCUGUGAAG